GUCCCUAAAUCUUACUUAAGUGGAAAACGAUGUGAAGUUACUUAAACAACCAGGAGGUUGGCUUAGAAGCAGCCAUCCUUUAAAGAAAGCGUAAUAGCUCACUGGUCUAGUGAUUUUGCGCGGAAAAUAUAACGGGGCUAAAGUAAGUACCGAAGCUGUAGACUUGCGCACAACUUAGAUUAUUUAAGUUUAGAAUAUGAGAAACUAAGUUAUAUGUUUAGUUAUAUUUUUACUGAUUUUUAUAGAGUAAAGAUAGAAAUAAAACUUAGUAAAAUCAGUAAAAAUAUUCUUAGACUAAAAUUAAGUAGUUUAAGUUGUGUGCAAGUGGUAGGAGAGCGUUCUAUUUGCGUCGAAGGUAUACCGGUAAGGAGUGCUGGAGCGAAUAGAAGUGAGCAUGCAGGCAUGAGUAGCGAUAAUUAAUGUGAGAAUCAUUAACGCCGUAAACCCAAGGUUUCCUACGCGAUGCUCGUCAUCGUAGGGUUAGUCGGGUCCUAAGUCGAGUCCGAAAGGGGUAGACGAUGGCAAAUUGGUUAAUAUUCCAAUACCAACAUUAGUGUGCGAUGGAAGGACGCUUAGGGCUAAGGGGGCUAGCGGAUGGAAGUGCUAGUCUAAGGUCGUAGGAGGUUAUACAGGCAAAUCCGUAUAACAAUACUCCGAGAACUGAAAGGCUUUUUGAAGUCUUCGGAUGGAUAGAAGAACCCCUGAUGCCGUCGAGCCAAGAAAAGUUUCUAAGUUUAGCUAAUGUUGCCCGUACCGUAAACCGACACAGGUGGGUGGGAUGAGUAUUCUAAGGCGCGUGGAAGAACUCUCUUUAAGGAACUCUGCAAAAUAGCACCGUAUCUUCGGUAUAAGGUGUGGUUCGCUUCGUAUUAGGAUUUACUCCGAAAGCGAAGAAACUUACAACAAAGAGUCCCUCCCGACUGUUUACCAAAAACACAGCACUCUGCUAACUCGUAAGAGGAUGUAUAGGGUGUGACGCCUGCCCGGUGCUCGAAGGUUAAUUGAUGGGGUUAGCAUUAGCGAAGCUCUUGAUCGAAGCCCGAGUAAACGGCGGCCGUAACUAUAACGGUCCUAAGGUAGCGAAAUUCCUUGUCGGUUAAAUACCGACCUGCAUGAAUGGCGUAACGAGAUGGGAGCUGUCUCAAAGAGGGAUCCAGUGAAAUUGUAGUGGAGGUGAAAAUUCCUCCUACCCGCGGCAAGACGGAAAGACCCCGUGGACCUUUACUACAGCUUGACACUGCUAUUUGGAUAAGAAUGUGCAGGAUAGGUGGGAGGCUUUGAGUAUAUGACGCCAGUUGUAUAUGAGCCAUUGUUGAGAUACCACUCUUUCUUAUUUGGGUAGCUAACCAGCUUGAGUUAUCCUCAAGUGGGACAAUGUCUGGUGGGUAGUUUGACUGGGGCGGUCGCCUCCCAAAUAAUAACGGAGGCUUACAAAGGUUGGCUCAGAACGGUUGGAAAUCGUUCGUAGAGUAUAAAGGUAUAAGCCAGCUUAACUGCAAGACAUACAAGUCAAGCAGAGACGAAAGUCGGUCUUAGUGAUCCGGUGGUUCUGUGUGGAAGGGCCAUCGCUCAAAGGAUAAAAGGUACCCCGGGGAUAACAGGCUGAUCUCCCCCAAGAGCUCACAUCGACGGGGAGGUUUGGCACCUCGAUGUCGGCUCAUCGCAUCCUGGGGCUGGAGCAGGUCCCAAGGGUAUGGCUGUUCGCCAUUUAAAGCGGUACGCGAGCUGGGUUCAGAACGUCGUGAGACAGUUCGGUCCCUAUCUGCCGUGGGCGUAAGAAGAUUGAAGAGAUUUGACCCUAGUACGAGAGGACCGGGUUGAACAAACCACUGGUGUAGCUGUUGUUCUGCCAAGAGCAUCGCAGCGUAGCUAAGUUUGGAAAGGAUAAACGCUGAAAGCAUCUAAGCGUGAAGCCAACUCUAAGAUGAAUCUUCUCUAAGCUCUCUAGAAGACUACUAGUUUGAUAGGCUGGGUGUGUAAUGGAUGAAAGUCCUUUAGCUGACCAGUACUAAUAGAGCGUUUGGCUUAUCUUUAAUAAAGCAU
Molecule: ribosomal RNA, 2043 nt
Filed under: Campylobacter coli
Lineage: Bacteria; Pseudomonadati; Campylobacterota; Epsilonproteobacteria; Campylobacterales; Campylobacteraceae
Description: partial 23S ribosomal RNA
Rfam family: Bacterial large subunit ribosomal RNA
Source: RNAcentral